This 121-nucleotide small RNA is filed under the name Mus caroli (Ryukyu mouse). RNAcentral's name for it is "sRNA (MGP_CAROLIEiJ_G0008656.1)". Lineage: Eukaryota; Metazoa; Chordata; Mammalia; Rodentia; Muridae. The record is from RNAcentral.
UCCUUCUUAAGGCAGUGUGCUUGGUUGAAGAGGAUGGCCUGCCUGAUGGAGAAGGACAAGUGUGUAAGCAGUCACACUCCCCUGCUAGAUACCUCUAAGUAAGUUCUCAGUGUAGGAAGUU